UACUAAGCGGAGGAAAAGAAACUAACAAGGAUUUCCUUAGUAGCGGCGAGCGAACAGGAAGGAGCCCAGCANUGAAUCCCGCGGUUCCGCCGCAGGGAAAUGUAGUGUUCGGGAGGGUUCAAUUAUCCCGCGGCUGCGUACCGAGUCNAAGUCUAUCUUGAAUGGGGCAAAUUACCCAUAGAGGGUGCCAGUCCCGUAGCGACCGGGACGCGCCGUGGGUGAGCCUCUCCUCA
This 233-nucleotide ribosomal RNA is filed under the name Courtella armata. RNAcentral's name for it is "partial 28S rRNA". It matches the Rfam family "Eukaryotic large subunit ribosomal RNA", at positions 44 to 261 of the family's 3401-position model. The record is from RNAcentral. Lineage: Eukaryota; Metazoa; Arthropoda; Insecta; Hymenoptera; Agaonidae.